RNAcentral lists this ribosomal RNA (468 nucleotides) under uncultured bacterium. RNAcentral's name for it is "partial 16S ribosomal RNA". It matches the Rfam family "Bacterial small subunit ribosomal RNA", at positions 28 to 507 of the family's 1533-position model. The record is from RNAcentral.
GCCGAACGCUUUCUUCUUUCUUAACACAUGCAAGUCGAACGGAAAGGCCCUGCUUUUGUGGGGUGCUCGAGUGGCGAACGGGUGAGUAACACGUGAGUAACCUGCCCUUGACUUUGGGAUAACUUCAGGAAACUGGGGCUAAUACCGGAUAGGAGCUCCUGCUGCAUGGUGGGGGUUGGAAAGUUUCGGCGGUUGGGGAUGGACUCGCGGCUUAUCAGCUUGUUGGUGGGGUAGUGGCUUACCAAGGCUUUGCCGGGUAGCCGGCCUGAGAGGGUGACCGGCCACAUUGGGACUGAGAUACGGCCCAGACUCCUACGGGAGGCAGCAGUGGGGAAUAUUGCACAAUGGGCGGAAGCCUGAUGCAGCAACGCCGCGUGCGGGAUGACGGCCUUCGGGUUGUAAACCGCUUUCGCCUGUGACGAAGCGUGAGUGACGGUAAUGGGUAAAGAAGCAACGGCUAACUACGUG